This 253-nucleotide ribosomal RNA is filed under the name uncultured bacterium. RNAcentral's name for it is "partial 16S ribosomal RNA". It matches the Rfam family "Bacterial small subunit ribosomal RNA", at positions 524 to 776 of the family's 1533-position model. The record is from RNAcentral.
UACGAAGGGUGCAAGCGUUAAUCGGAAUUACUGGGCGUAAAGCGUGCGGAGGCGGUUUGUUAAGUCUGUUGUGAAAUCCCCGGGCUCAACCUGGGAAUGGCAAUGGAUACUGGCAAGCUAGAGUGUGUCAGAGGAUGGUGGAAUUCCCGGUGUAGCGGUGAAAUGCGUAGAGAUCGGGAGGAACAUCAGUGGCGAAGGCGGCCAUCUGGGACAACACUGACGCUGAGGCACGAAAGCGUGGGGAGCAAACAGG